Bactrocera dorsalis (oriental fruit fly) is the source of this 1906-nucleotide long non-coding RNA. RefSeq lists it as uncharacterized. The transcript is spliced from 2 exons. The record is from RefSeq and is a predicted model, not a curated record. NCBI's taxonomy places the organism in Eukaryota, Metazoa, Arthropoda, Insecta, Diptera, Tephritidae.
CAGAUAGAGGCAUGCCUAUGCAUUUCUCCCACCAGCAUACAUUCGAUAUUGCAUGAACACCUGGCCGUAAAAAAGGUUUGUUCUCGUUGGAUCCCGCACAAUUUGACAAUCGCUCAAAAAAAGGCUCGUGUGGAUUGGUGUAAAGAAAUGCUGAAAAAAUACGAUAUAUUAUCCUUAAUUUAUACUUGUCUUAUUAUAGUUCUUCAAUCACUUUUUCAAUCAUUAGUUCUAUUAUUUGUAUAUUUUUCUUUUGACGUUCAUUCUGUGUGGUUUGACGCAACUGGGGCACGCAGUUUUAUGUCACUAACUUCUUUGUUUCCAGUCGCUGUAGCUGGAUACCGAGUGGAUGUUUAGUCUGCCACGUGUGAUAGGAUGCCAGGGUAAUAGAAGGGGUACUACGAUCUUCGCAUUGAGACAGCGCAUCGAGUGAGUCAAUUUUCUAAUGAUUAUCUGUUAUCUGUUUUGCUGAUGAAGCUUGCAAGUAGAGUUGGUGAAUGGUGAAGGAAGUUUUGAAGGACUCGACUGGGCCCUUCUGAUGGUGUUACCUUUCUGAUGUUUUUUUGGUGGAUUUGAUUUUGUCUGCGAAGCUGCUCAUCUUGUUUUCUCGUCCCUCAAUUUUAACUAUUAACAGCAACAAAGUUGCUAAGGAGAGUAUUAUACAUAGUUUUGUUCACAUAACGAUUGUUUGUAAGUCCUAAAACUAAAAGAGUCAGAUAUAGGGUUAUAUAUACCAUUUAAGCCAUAAAUAAAGAUAUUAAAGUGAAAUUUGGCACAAAGGAUCGCAUUACGGAGGGGCAUAUUUGGACGUAUUUUUUUUGGAAAAGUGGGCGUGGCCCCGCCCCCUACUAAGUUUUUUGUACAUAUCUCGGAAACUACUAUAGCUAUGUCACCCAAACUCUAUAGAGUCGUUUCCUUCAGGCAUUUCCAUAUACAGUUCAAAAAUGGAAGAAAUCGGAUAAUAACCACGCCCACCUCCCAUACAAAGGUUAUGUUGAAAAUCACUAAAAGUGCGUUAACCGACUAACAAAAAACGGCAGAAACACUAAAUUUUACGGAAGAAAUGGCAGAACGAAGCUGCACCCAGGCUUUGUUUUUUAAAUUGAAAAUUGGCGUGGCGUUGCCCACUUAUGGACCAUAUCUCAGAAACUACUCACCGAUUUCAACGAAAUUCGGUAUAUAAUAUUUUCUUAACACCCUUAUGACAUGUACGAAAUAUGGGUGAAAUCGGUUCACAACCACGCCUUCUUCCAAUAUAACGCUAUUUUGAAUUCCAUCUGAUGCCUUCUCUGUAUAAUAUAUACAUUAGGAUCCAAUGAUCAUAGCUGAAUAAAACUUUACACAAACGCGGUAUUUGAGCUGAGGCAUCCCUUGUGGAAAAAUUGUCGUGAUCGGACUAUAACUUUUCAAGGUCCCUGAUAUCGAACACGAAGAACUCAGUGCCUAACCUAACCUAACCAAAUUUUUCACCGAAAAUAUCGGUAAAUCUUUCAGAAUUUAAUUCUAAUUAAUUUUACAGCAAAAUAAAAAAUAUGUAUGUAAAUAACGGAUAAUGAAAUCUCGAUUAUCACUUUAUCAUGCGAGAGUAUAAAAUGUUCGGUGACACCCGAACUUAGCCCUUCUUUACUUGUUUUAUAUUCUAUAUUCAGAUAUUCUUGGAUAUCAGCGGAGCAUUGGGAUAUUUAAUCUCCGAUAUAUUUGGAUUUGGGAAUUUCUCGACCCUGAGGCGAAAUGGAAUCUAUUUAUUAUCAUUUGUUAUAAGUCUGAGUGCAACAUCGAUGAAGAAUUUAAUAUUUUUAAUAAUUGCAAUAUUUUUAAACGUUGAUUGGUGGUGAAAUUUACUAUUUUUACUCUCAUUUGUAAAUUAUUCAUGUACUUCCAAUCAAUAAAAUGUGCCUUCAACUAGUGA